GACGAACGCUGGCGGCGUGCUUAACACAUGCAAGUCGAACGGAAAGGCCCUGCUUUUGUGGGGUGCUCGAGUGGCGAACGGGUGAGUAACACGUGAGUAACCUGCCCUUGACUUUGGGAUAACUUCAGGAAACUGGGGCUAAUACCGGAUAGGAGCUCCUGCUGCAUGGUGGGGGUUGGAAAGUUUCGGCGGUUGGGGAUGGACUCGCGGCUUAUCAGCUUGUUGGUGGGGUAGUGGCUUACCAAGGCUUUGACGGGUAGCCGGCCUGAGAGGGUGACCGGUCACAUUGGGACUGAGAUACGGCCCAGACUCCUACGGGAGGCAGCAGUGGGGAAUAUUGCACAAUGGGCGGAAGCCUGAUGCAGCAACGCCGCGUGCGGGAUGACGGCCUUCGGGUUGUAAACCGCUUUCGCCUGUGACGAAGCGUGAGUGACGGUAAUGGGUAAAGAAGCACCGGCUAACUACGUG
Molecule: ribosomal RNA, 468 nt
Filed under: uncultured bacterium
Lineage: Bacteria
Description: partial 16S ribosomal RNA
Rfam family: Bacterial small subunit ribosomal RNA
Source: RNAcentral